UUUCUCUUCCAGGCCCUGUUCCCUUCUGUAUACAGGGCUUCGGGUUAACCCUUGCUGCAUAGAGUGCUCAGACAUGGAGGCAUUUAAAUUUUAAGGGUGUGCUAUAAAUAUACCUGGAAAGGUUCUGUGAAGACUGCAAGAAAAAAGUACACAAUUUUCAAUUGCUUGGAAGCUCAAAAGAAGAAUCAAGAGGAUCAAAUAAAUGGGAAUUAGACUGGUCUCAGCUGGAGAAAGUUUUGCAUUUGGCCGCAGGACAGAAAGUGUGGUGCACAAAAGAGUACUUUGAACUGGGAGCUGGUUUUGUCUCCGUUCAUGGCAGCAAGGAUGGGAUUCAAUCAAAUUAUCUUUUUGACAUUCUCACUCCCAGCUCCAAUAAUGAGUUUAUGGCUGUGGUGCAGCAGUAAGAUUACUCCACCUAUUACAAAA
Molecule: long non-coding RNA, 426 nt
Filed under: Chrysemys picta bellii (western painted turtle)
Lineage: Eukaryota; Metazoa; Chordata; Testudines; Emydidae
Description: lncRNA (ENSCPBG00000024861.1)
Source: RNAcentral